UUUCAUGUAUUCUCCAUGGAUCCUCUGUGUGAUGGCUUCACACCACGGGCUUGUUAAAACUUCAUUUCUUCUCCCCUCCCCUUGGCCAGAUUAGCAGAGACUCGGCCUAAUACUACUAACGGCUGCCCUUGCUGCUUUAAAUAACUCUGCCUGAAGCUAGGCCCUCACAAUACGAGUGGCCCUCAAGGUCCGGAUUAGGAGUCACAUGCCCUCAAAAGAUGACUCCAGAAUCGUUUGCAUCUCUCUCUCCAUGUAUACAUCUACCAAAACGAAUCAGAAUCCCUGCCUCCCCCCACCCGGUUUGAAUAUACCAAUACAGUAUUUAGUUAUUUUGCAAGGAAGGCGGGGAUUAAAGGAAGCGAUCAAGAUUUUGGAUGAGCUUCUUGAAAUCCGGUGCAACAGCUGUGUUGGUAAAAUAUUGUUUUCUACUUCUAGAAGAGGGUGUUUGCAGUGAACUCUAGGACAAGGUACAAGAUGGAUGCUACUUGUGUGAUGUGGGGACUAAUUUGGCUGAUCAUACUCUUCUUUAUUGGAUGGCCCGUAAGCAUUUUCUUAGGAGGACUGUAUGGAUUCUUCUCUCCUCUGACAACUUUGGUAGGCCUAGAUGACGUCAGUGAUAUUCUACUGAGAGGAGUAAAUGUGGGAAGGCAAUGUGCUAAGAAUGUGCACAAUGGAAAGCCUCUCUUUUAAUAUAAAGGCCAGCCAGCUAGUAUUCUUCUUUCUCCCAUGAUGAAUUUUUGCAACUGAAAAUGUUCCUGUUUCUAUCGAAAAGUAAUUCAGGGUUUAAAGGAUAUGCUUUAUAUUUGCAUUCUAUAAAUAAGUAAAUGUAGACACUGGAAUCUGUUGUUCCUAUUUAUGUCACCUUUUCAUAAGUUAAUGUGCUAAAACCAGAGAUAUCUAAAUUAGAGCCUCAGAUUUCUGCCAGAUCUGUGUUAGAAUAGAAUGUCAGAUUCUUCAAACCUAAGCAUUCUAGAAUUUGGACAUAGCUACAUUUGCUGUGACCAAACCCCGCAAGUAUGAUUUUGCUCUUGUCUUGUAUGUUAACUUACAAUAAAGAAAUUAUUUGCUUAUUGAUGUUAAUGCUUCAUACCUGCAUUCAGUUACUAAUGUAUAAAUUUAUAGUAAAACAGUCACUGUUUGUUACACUUAACUUUUCUCUGAAUAUUUUACAGUACAUUAUUUUUAUGUUGGUUCUUU
Pogona vitticeps (central bearded dragon) is the source of this 1197-nucleotide non-coding RNA. NCBI's taxonomy places the organism in Eukaryota, Metazoa, Chordata, Lepidosauria, Squamata, Agamidae. The record is from RefSeq and is a predicted model, not a curated record.